RNAcentral lists this ribosomal RNA (798 nucleotides) under uncultured deep-sea bacterium. RNAcentral's name for it is "bacterial SSU rRNA". It matches the Rfam family "Bacterial small subunit ribosomal RNA", at positions 8 to 796 of the family's 1533-position model. The record is from RNAcentral.
AGAGUUUGAUCAUGGCUCAGAUUGAACGCUGGCGGCAGGCCUAACACAUGCAAGUCGAACGGUAGCACAGAGAGCUUGCUCUCGGGUGACGAGUGGCGGACGGGUGAGUAAUGUCUGGGAAACUGCCUGAUGGAGGGGGAUAACUACUGGAAACGGUAGCUAAUACCGCAUAACGUCUUCGGACCAAAGUGGGGGACCUUCGGGCCUCACACCAUCGGAUGUGCCCAGAUGGGAUUAGCUAGUAGGUGGGGUAAUGGCUCACCUAGGCGACGAUCCCUAGCUGGUCUGAGAGGAUGACCAGCCACACUGGAACUGAGACACGGUCCAGACUCCUACGGGAGGCAGCAGUGGGGAAUAUUGCACAAUGGGCGCAAGCCUGAUGCAGCCAUGCCGCGUGUAUGAAGAAGGCCUUCGGGUUGUAAAGUACUUUCAGCGGGGAGGAAGGCGAUAAGGUUAAUAACCUUGUCGAUUGACGUUACCCGCAGAAGAAGCACCGGCUAACUCCGUGCCAGCAGCCGCGGUAAUACGGAGGGUGCAAGCGUUAAUCGGAAUUACUGGGCGUAAAGCGCACGCAGGCGGUCUGUCAAGUCAGAUGUGAAAUCCCCGGGCUUAACCUGGGAACUGCAUUUGAAACUGGCAGGCUAGAGUCUUGUAGAGGGGGGUAGAAUUCCAGGUGUAGCGGUGAAAUGCGUAGAGAUCUGGAGGAAUACCGGUGGCGAAGGCGGCCCCCUGGACAAAGACUGACGCUCAGGUGCGAAAGCGUGGGGAGCAAACAGGAUUAGAUACCCCUGGUAGUCC